This 2330-nucleotide long non-coding RNA is filed under the name Pan troglodytes (chimpanzee). RNAcentral's name for it is "lincRNA". Lineage: Eukaryota; Metazoa; Chordata; Mammalia; Primates; Hominidae. The record is from RNAcentral.
UGACGCAGGAAGGAGCCCUCUCACCAUCAUGUCUCCUCACCUCCUCUGGCCGCUAAUAUUGCUGAAGUGGCUAAAUGAGUCCCAGUAUUAAUUAUCUCAGCCAUUUUCAGAGUGAUACUGAGAAGAAAUGAAAUGGAGAUGGGGAAGAAGGAAGCCGCUCCUCUCUACAGGAUGCCAAAUCAAUGCAGGAGGAGAUUCUGAGAACUACUGGACAACGGCCACAGGGGAACAGGGGAUUCAUUCCAUCUCAAAGCCUCACCCUACACAUUAUCUUUAUUAGCUAUAAAAGGGAAAAGGGAUUUGCAAUGGAGAGUUAUGGCAGACUCCAGCCUCAUGAAGUGACACAACUUAGCAUUGCCACCCAGGGGACAAACCCACACUAUGAGUCUGAUUCAGUGCACCAAGAAGGACAAACAUCACUUACUCUGCUGUAACAUAAUGCAGUAUAUUAUACACUAACAUAUGUAGUAUAUUACAUUACAUAAUAACAUAGUACAGGCUUCUAGGACACAGUUUAUAGAAGUGCAGAUAAUACUUGAGGCAGUUUCCCAAACUUGCAAAUAAAAACUCUCCACAGGGCUUGUGACUAGCACAUUCCCAAAGCCCCAAACCCAGAAUCCCACCUGCUUAGUGAGCACCUCCAGAGCAUUUUUUUUUUUUUUUUGAGACGGAGUUUUGCUCUUGUUGCCCAGGCUGGAGUGCAAUGGCAGGAUCUCGGCUCACUGCAACCUCCACCUCCCAGGUUCAAGCGAUUCUCAUGCCUCAGCCUCCUGAGCAGCUGGGAUUACAGGCACCCACCUAAUUUUUGUAUUUUUAGUAGAGAUGGAGUUUCACCAUGUUGGUCAGGCUGGUCUUGAACUCCCAGCCUCAGGUGAUCCACCCGCCUUGGCCUCCCAAAGUGCUAGGAUUACAGGCACGAGCCACUGCGCUCGGCCAUCUCUAGGGCAUAUUUUUACUGUGCAAUGUGGGAAUCUCUGCCACAGGGUGGGCUGCCUUUCUAACCCAGUGGCCCGGUUCUAGCAGGACUUCCCCAGUAUGUGGAUGGGGGCACAGGGACUCUUGGGGGGGCCUCAAGGCAUCUGUGAGCUACGCCUAACCACCGCUACUGAAUGACUGUGAGAUGAGUCCCAGAGCUGGGACGAGAGUGGGCCUGGUACCCUGCCCCAGCCCUCCCCUGACAGGAGUUAGUAAGGGACAGGUGAGCAUGCUAAAGAGACAGCAAGCUGGUCACAGCCUAGGGCCACCACCCUUCUGUCUUCCAAGUCAGAAACAUGUCCUGACUUUGGGGGAGAGGGUAUAUGUUAAACGGGCCCACCCUGGGAGCUGUAGUGGUCACUGUGGAGCUGAGCACUGGGCUGCACUCCUCGCUGCCCCAGAGUGACCAGGUGGGUGGUUUCAUCCAAGAGGCAGGGCUCAGAAGGCCAGGCUGAGCCACCGAUAUGCAUGUCUGCACCCCACCACUUCCUGCUCAGUCUGUAUCAGGCCCGGGAUGAAAUCGUCACUUAGAUGCUCAGGGGUCCUGCCACCCGUCUGGCCAACACAAACCUGCCAGCAUAGCACUGAGUGGAAGGUUCCAGUGCACCCACAGGCCUGGCUGUUAAAAUGUCCGGCCUCUCCAGAGGACAGGUUAAGUUCACACUGAGAAAGCCUGGCUCUCUCCAGCUAGCCUGAAUUAACGUGAGAAGGAUGAGCACAGCACCUGUGGAAAUGGCGCUGGAAAGCAAGUGUCCCUAGGAACUGCCUCUGCGCCACCCAAGUGCGCCGGCCCAGCGUCCUCAGACAACCCAGGAGGAGUCCUCCAUCUGGCCACUUCCCACCCGUUAGGCCGCGAAGGGACACCAGGUUGGUGAGACCUGGACCCCACCAGCAAAGGACCCUUCCUUCAUUCAUCACACACUGGCUCCAUCUGCACUGCACCUACUGCCAGCCAGGCACUGAGCUUCACAUCCGCACAAAACACAAAGACCUCUGAUACGGUUCGGGUCUGUGUUCCCACCUAAACCUCGUGGUGAAUUGUAAUCAUGUUGAGUUGUUUUGGAGGUGGGGCCUGGUGAGAAGUGACUCGAUGAUGGGGUGGAUUUCUUAUGAAUGGUUUAGCACCAUCUCCUUGAUGCUGUUCUCAAGAUAGUGAGUUUUCACGAAAUCUGGUUGUUUAAAAGUGUGCGCCCCACCCCUUGCUUCUGCUCUGGCCAUGUGAUCUGCCUGCCUUCCCCUUCGCCUUCCACCAUGAUUGUAAGAUUCCUGAGGCCUCCCCAGAGGCUGAGCAGAUAUCGGUACUACACUUCCUAUACAGCCUGCAGAACUAUGAGCCAAUUAAACCUCUUUUCUUU